Nelumbo nucifera (sacred lotus) is the source of this 634-nucleotide non-coding RNA. The record is from RefSeq and is a predicted model, not a curated record. Lineage: Eukaryota; Viridiplantae; Streptophyta; Magnoliopsida; Proteales; Nelumbonaceae.
AGGGGGACUAAAUGGAAGUCGUCGCUAAAAUUAUUAGUCUUUAACAGCAGUCAAUUAAAACUGCCACUAUAAUUAGCGCGUGACUUGAGUAGGGUUUCCUCCUAGCGUCCCCUUCCUCUUCACAUUUCAUUCCCUUCCCGCCUCUGUAUAUAUCUCCUCUCACAAUCAUUUGUUUCUCUCUUAAUCGAAUUUUAGACCACUGUCGUCUCCUCGAUCGGGGUUAACAUCACUGAAUGGCAUUUGGCCAUAGCCUUGAUAGUUGAAUGGUGCAAGGGAGAUUUUGGAUUUCAACAAGUUGUGAAAGCCUCCUUGCUCUUGCUACUUUGUGCCUUGUAUUGAGCCUAGUCCAUCAUAUUCAUAGUAGCGUGGUUACCUGCUUAUUCAUACCAAUGGUGGACUCAACCAGAUGCAGGCUGGGAUUAUUGAAUCUAAAAACUUGUUAAAGCCUAUCCUUUAUGCUCAGAAAGCUCCAGGUUAAGAUGUUUUCUAAUGAAUUUAAUCUUAUACUCUCAAGUUCAGUUGCAUUCUUGUUAAAGACCUUUUUUUGUUUAUUUAUUUUAUAAAACUAAAUCAGGAUUUUGACCAUAUAAGAUCCUGAAAAUGAUCUCCCUCUCUCUCUCUCUCUCCUUUUAGA